Zea mays is the source of this 2236-nucleotide long non-coding RNA. RefSeq lists it as uncharacterized. The transcript is spliced from 2 exons. The record is from RefSeq and is a predicted model, not a curated record. NCBI's taxonomy places the organism in Eukaryota, Viridiplantae, Streptophyta, Magnoliopsida, Poales, Poaceae.
AGCAUUUAAAGCCUCACAAGCAUCACAUUUGAUCGAUUUGAGUUAGAGAGACUUAGGUCUUGUUUGGGAUAGCUCCAGCUCCAGAAAAUUUGGUGGAGUAGGUCAUGAGGUGCUCUAGAAAAUAAUGGAGCUAGAGCUGUAAGCUUUUAGAAGACAUUUAGAUGACUCAUUUUAUUUAUUAUUUAGAUUAAAAAUAUUUUUAAAACUAAUUAAAUUCCUCAGUGCCUUGUGAUUUUAAGUGUUGCAAAUUCUUGUGCUCUUGUUUUAUGCUUUCAUUCUCUCUCACACCCCAUUCUAAAGGGUUAUUUCACUAGUCUAAACUACCCCUAAAUAUAUACAACUCAUCCAUUUAACCAAGGGCAAAAUGGACUAACUCCUAUAAUAUGCAUCUGAUAGCCACGUGCUCCACAUGAAGUUGCUUCGCCUCGACACACCCUUCGUGAUGACGCCAUGUGUCGCCUUUAAUUCCUUCUGGAACCGCACCGCCGAGUUUUGAGUCCCAAACUCGGUGAAACCCACCAUCCGUAGUGUUAGGUGGUUUGAGGUUCAACCACCAAAAUAUCGUGAGUAGCGUACCGCAUACGUGUUCCCCACGUCUUGGACACGUGUCCCAUCAGUCCUCGACAACUGGUGACACAAUCCGUUCUGCCACGUCCUCGCGCUAGUACGUGACCUAGGUGUCAACCACCAAGGCUAGUCACCCGACUGCUUUGGUCCCUUAGUCAAGUCCCAACGCUCGUUCUUCGCCGCUUUUGGUCCAUCGGCACAAAUCCACAUGACAUUCACCUUCGUCGUCGACCACCGUCCCUAUGCUUCGCACCUGCACACCACAAGCCGACGAAAAUAGUUUUACAAUACAAGCUCUCGUACUCUAGUUAGUCCAAGACUCACAUUAAAAUACUACCAAUGUUGACAAUCACUCAUCAUCAACCCGAACCAUAAAUGUGAUAUCCUGGCCCCUGGGAUGGUGAUUUCCUGGUCCAAGGCUUAAUAGAAUUAAUAGAGUAUCCAUACCAACAAGGUGCAUCUUCUUUUUCGGAAGCCUAUCUCGAAAGAACCUCCAUGUUAAGUGUGCUUGGCUUGGAACAAUUUGGGAUGGGUGACCGACCGGGAAGUUUUCUCGAGUGCGCAUGAGUAGGACAAAGUGCGCACAAAAGACACAUGUUUGUCUGUGGGGACAACAUAUGAUUCAGAGAGCUGCCAGGAGUAAGUACCACCGAUCCAGGGAUUGGACGAGGUGUUACAAUAGGUCAAGUCAAUCUUGUGUUCGCGCGGUUACUUCGAGUCACUGACGUGUGGAACCAGUUCUAGUGCGGCCCCAUGCGUCAGUGACUCAUCUGCAGUUACUUUCACAAAAGUAACUACAGAGGAUCUCCUCGGCUUUCAUACGCCGCAAACCAGCAACAAUGAUGGUACUUUAGAUUUCACAAGCAAGGGUUAUUUAUUUAUUUAUAGGCAAGAAAAUUGUAAAAUCCGUCUUAAAUAUUACAUCAAAAGGUGAAAGAGCCUCUAUCUAAGUUAGUUAGGUGGUCUUCAAGCCGAGGUAAAAAAAUCCUCUUAUUUGAAGUUCUUCUUAACACAAUAGAAUCCUCUUAUUUGAAGUUCUUAACACAAUAGACGGUCGGGUCGAUAAGAGCUUAAAACAUUGUUACCCUGUUUUUUGCUAUUUGCAUAAAAAACAGUUCACGAACAAAAAAAUAAAAUCAAUUAAAGGUCUAUUUAGUUUAGUUAUAGAUUUCUAAAAAAAAUAAUUCUAGUGAUGUUUUGGAGAAGCUGUUGCGAGCUGACCGUCAUAGAAAAACUAAAAUAUAUUUGAUUGAAACAAUUAUAAACUAUAGAACUGAUAAAUUAUAGAUUCUAUAAAAACAUGAUAGCUCGGUAGAUGAUAAGAAUCUAUUCUGAAUUAAGGAUGUGUUUAGUGUGUGGCGCCACGCCACACCUAAGUUGCGGCGGCCGAAUCAGCCGCCACAACUGCGGCGGGAAAAGCGGUGGCUUAGGCCAGCUAUCAAACACGCCCUAAAUCUUGCACAGAAUGCCGAACCGAACACACCAGUGCGCAUGGCGAGGACGUUUUUCACCCAAACUAAGCAGGGGUGGACGAUGCAGCAAAACAGAGUGGUCUUAACAGAAUUCCUUUAUAUAGACCGUUCAAGUGCUGAUCAUAUGAAGACACUGUUAUCUCUCCCAAAUUAAACUUUAUUGCUCAAACGACAUCAUGCGUCCUCUCUCAAAAAAA